Acyrthosiphon pisum (pea aphid) is the source of this 45-nucleotide non-coding RNA. The record is from Rfam. Lineage: Eukaryota; Metazoa; Arthropoda; Insecta; Hemiptera; Aphididae.
AAAAAGGCCCUUUUCAGGGCCACCACAUGACAUAUAAUAUCGCUU